CCUACGGGUGGCAGCAGUGAGGAAUAUUGGUCAAUGGGCGCUAGCCUGAACCAGCCAAGUAGCGUGAAGGAUGACUGCCCUAUGGGUUGUAAACUUCUUUUAUAUGGGAAUAAAGUGCAGUAUGUAUACUGCUUUGCAUGUACCUUAUGAAUAAGGAUCGGCUAACUCCGUGCCAGCAGCCGCGGUAAUACGGAGGAUCCGAGCGUUAUCCGGAUUUAUUGGGUUUAAAGGGAGCGUAGUCGGGUUGUUAAGUCAGUUGUGAAAGUUUGCGGCUCAACCGUAAAAUUGCAGUUGAUACUGGCAUCCUUGAGUACAGUAGAGGUAGGCGGAAUUCCUGGUGUAGCGGUGAAAUGCGUAGAUAUCAGGAGGAACACCGGUGGCGAAGGCGGCCUGCUGGACUGCAACUGACGUUGAGGCCCGAAAGCGUGGGGAGCAAACAGGAUUAGAUACCCUUGUAGUC
This 460-nucleotide ribosomal RNA is filed under the name uncultured bacterium. Its description in RNAcentral is "partial 16S ribosomal RNA". It matches the Rfam family "Bacterial small subunit ribosomal RNA", at positions 338 to 795 of the family's 1533-position model. The record is from RNAcentral.